AACGCGAAGAACCUUACCAGGUCUUGACAUCCCGAUGCUAUUCCUAGAGAUAGGAAGUUUCUUCGGAACAUCGGUGACAGGUGGUGCAUGGUUGUCGUCAGCUCGUGUCGUGAGAUGUUGGGUUAAGUCCCGCAACGAGCGCAACCCCUAUUGUUAGUUGCCAUCAUUAAGUUGGGCACUCUAGCGAGACUGCCGGUAAUAAACCGGAGGAAGGUGGGGAUGACGUCAAAUCAUCAUGCCCCUUAUGACCUGGGCUACACACGUGCUACAAUGGUUGGUACAACGAGUCGCGAGUCGGUGACGGCAAGCAAAUCUCUUAAAGCCAAUCUCAGUUCGGAUUGUAGGCUGCAACUCGCCUUACAUGAAGUCGGAAUCGCUAGUAAU
This 384-nucleotide ribosomal RNA is filed under the name bacterium enrichment culture DGGE gel band MRS11. Its description in RNAcentral is "bacterial SSU rRNA". It matches the Rfam family "Bacterial small subunit ribosomal RNA", at positions 958 to 1342 of the family's 1533-position model. The record is from RNAcentral.